GCCAACCAGAGUAGCUGUGGAUGGGAUUCCUGUUCGUUCUUCCACGACGAGAGAGGUUCCGCCGCCGCCGCUAUGUCCAUCCCCAACUCCGGCGCCACGACGGUGGACCACGGCUCCUCGGCCUCCAUCCUCACCAUCGCCGCGGAGGAUCUCGGCCUCUCCAUCCUCAUUCCCAUCCCGACUCCGCCGUCUGCGCCACAUUCGGCGUCCGGGUCGUCCUCGACAUGGACGUGGACUUGGCCGACUGCUGCUGCACCCUGUCGUUGACCGGAGGGGAGGGGGGAGGAGGCGGCGGGGUCUAGGAGCACCUCGACAAUGAGGAAGGCGCGAGCCACUGCCGGUGCCCUUCUCCUCUUCCUGCUACGGAGAGCGACCCGUGGCGACCGAGCCGACGGACCGGAGCGAGCGUUCCGAGGUAAGGGAAGGCCAUAGCUCGACGGGUGCUCCUAUUGUCCUCUGGGGAGGAGCAAGGCUGCUCGACGGUGUCUCCCGGCGACGGCCACCGCGGCCGGCCAUGUUCAACGCCCUAGUACGCCGGCGAGGUGCUUCCGGCCGGCGGCGACGCGAGCCACGGAGAUGGCGUCCGGCGCAGCGCCUGGGCUACCUCCUGCACGUCUCCCGCCACGGCAAACACUAUGCCGACCUGAAUAAGAAGACUAGGUCAUCAAAUACUAUAGACGAGUAUCCAGUAGUAGACGAACUACCAAAUAAUUCAAAGUCCACAACAUCUUUCUUUUGGAUUGGAGCGUGGUGCGUAAACCAUCAGCCAAGGACAGGCUUACCAAUGGCAAGGCCGAUUGCCUCCAAGACCAGGAGUAUGUCCUUACUUAUGAAGACAAGGACGACGACUGGAUGCUUGUUGGUCACCUUCGGUGGGAAGCAUGCUGAAGCAAGGUGAUUACAGAGGAGGCGCAGGAGCCGCAGGCCGUGAACCUUGUGCUGGCUGGUCUCGACGGCGUGCUCGACGAGAUGUUACCGGUGACUGACCUCUAUCUUGUGCAUGUCACCGCGUGGCUGCGUGACCCCUCCUCUGUGCCAAAGGAGCUGGCAGUUAUGGUGCCGGCGCCUAUUCUGGUGCCUACGCUGCCUGGCUCUGACGAGGACGUCGAAUCACCGCCGGCUCCAAGCUCCCCUACGUACAAGCGCACGCACGAGUACAACCUCAUUCUACAUGUGAAGGAGGUCAUCGACCGCGACCCUUUGAUGAUGGAUGGCACUGAUGACGAUGACGAAGACCUGAGCUGCAAGCAUAAGUUUAAGACUUGGCGUGGCAAGAUCGACGGCACAGGUCCCGGUCUUUAUGGCGAGGCAUGAUCGGAAUUUGCUAUGAUCCUUUUCUCCCGUGUUUACUUUAGUUUACAAUGUUCCGAACUAGAGUUUCGUACUACAAAGUGUUUACUUUAAUUAGUUUAUAAUGUUCUGAACUAGAGUUUCGUACUACAAAGUCUUUACUUUAGUUUAUAAUGUUUCGAACAGAGUUUGUCAUUUUGUCUGAUCGAGAAAUCUGGCGUGUUAUAAUCUUUAUCUUGUAUGAUUCAAAAUACUCUUUAUGCUACUUUUCAAAUAGUUCAAUUGCA
This is a non-coding RNA of Lolium perenne, 1577 nucleotides long. The record is from RefSeq and is a predicted model, not a curated record. Lineage: Eukaryota; Viridiplantae; Streptophyta; Magnoliopsida; Poales; Poaceae.